GAACGAUACAGAGAAGAGAGAUUUGCAUGGCCCCUGCAUAAGGGUGUCCAGCAAAUCCUGUGAUGCGUUCCACAUUUAA
Molecule: small nuclear RNA, 79 nt
Filed under: Myotis brandtii (Brandt's bat)
Lineage: Eukaryota; Metazoa; Chordata; Mammalia; Chiroptera; Vespertilionidae
Source: RNAcentral